CGCGAAACCUCUACGAAUGCACGAAAGUGUGAUAGGGAACCCCUUGUGCUUAUCUAACGAUAGGCUUUUGUAAUACUUAGCGCGUUUUACGAAUAAGUGGUGGGCAAGGCUGGUGCCAGCAGCCGCGGUAAUACCAGCGCCACAAGUGGAAAUCAUGUUUAUUGGGUCUAAAGUGUUCGUAGCAGGUCGAAUAAGUCUCUUGUGAAAGUUUUGUAGCUUAACUCAAAAUUUGCAAGAGAUACUGUUUGACUCGAGACCGGAAGAGGUAACAAGUAUUGUUUGGGUAGCGGUAAAAUGCUAUAAUCCUUACAAGACUAACUAAGGCGAAGGCAUGUUACUUGGACGGAUCUGACAGUGAGGGACGAGAGCUGGGGGAGCGAACCGGAUUAGAUACCCGGGUAGUCCCAGCCGUAAACGCUGCGGGUUAGGCUUUGCU
Molecule: ribosomal RNA, 436 nt
Filed under: uncultured euryarchaeote
Lineage: Archaea; Methanobacteriati; Methanobacteriota
Description: bacterial SSU rRNA
Rfam family: Archaeal small subunit ribosomal RNA
Source: RNAcentral